Molecule: ribosomal RNA, 454 nt
Filed under: uncultured Paracoccus sp.
Lineage: Bacteria; Pseudomonadati; Pseudomonadota; Alphaproteobacteria; Rhodobacterales; Paracoccaceae
Description: bacterial SSU rRNA
Rfam family: Bacterial small subunit ribosomal RNA
Source: RNAcentral
AGAGUUUUGAUCCUGGCUCAGAACGAACGCUGGCGGCAGGCUUAACACAUGCAAGUCGAGCGAGAUCUUCGGGUCUAGCGGCGGACGGGUGAGUAACGCGUGGGAACGUGCCCUUUGCUACGGAAUAGUCCUGGGAAACUGGGGGUAAUACCGUAUACGCCCUUUUGGGGAAAGAUUUAUCGGCGAAGGAUCGGCCCGCGUUGGAUUAGGUAGUUGGUGGGGUAAUGGCCUACCAAGCCGACGAUCCAUAGCUGGUUUGAGAGGAUGAUCAGCCACACUGGGACUGAGACACGGCCCAGACUCCUACGGGAGGCAGCAGUGGGGAAUCUUAGACAAUGGGGGCAACCCUGAUCUAGCCAUGCCGCGUGAGUGAUGAAGGCCUUAGGGCUGUAAAGCUCUUUCAGCUGGGAAGAUAAUGACGGUACCAGCAGAAGAAGCCCCGGCUAACUCCGUG